CGGCGGACGGGUGAGUAACACGUGGAUAACCUACCUAUAAGACUGGGAUAACUUCGGGAAACCGGAGCUAAUACCGGAUAAUAUAUUGAACCGCAUGGUUCAAUAGUGAAAGACGGUUUUGCUGUCACUUAUAGAUGGAUCCGCGCCGCAUUAGCUAGUUGGUAAGGUAACGGCUUACCAAGACAACGAUGCGUAGCCGACCUGAGAGGGUGAUCGGCCACACUGGAACUGAGACACGGUCCAG
RNAcentral lists this ribosomal RNA (244 nucleotides) under uncultured Staphylococcus sp. RNAcentral describes it as "partial 16S ribosomal RNA". It matches the Rfam family "Bacterial small subunit ribosomal RNA", at positions 96 to 334 of the family's 1533-position model. Lineage: Bacteria; Bacillati; Bacillota; Bacilli; Caryophanales; Staphylococcaceae. The record is from RNAcentral.